AGCCCUGCAGUGAUUUCACGUCAAAGUGCAAAUUUGAAGAAGAGCCCUAAGAGGCCCCGGGGCUU
RNAcentral lists this transfer RNA (65 nucleotides) under Polychrus marmoratus (common monkey lizard). Its description in RNAcentral is "tRNA-Cys". Lineage: Eukaryota; Metazoa; Chordata; Lepidosauria; Squamata; Polychrotidae. The record is from RNAcentral.